This 509-nucleotide ribosomal RNA is filed under the name uncultured bacterium. Its description in RNAcentral is "bacterial SSU rRNA". It matches the Rfam family "Bacterial small subunit ribosomal RNA", at positions 15 to 518 of the family's 1533-position model. The record is from RNAcentral.
GAUUAUGGCUCAGGAUGAACGCUAGCGGCAGGCUUAACACAUGCAAGGUCGAGGGGCAUCGGGAGUAGCAAUACUGCCGGCGACCGGCGCAAGGGUGCGUAACGCGUGAGCAACAUGCCCGUAUCAGGGGGGAUAAUCCAUGGAAACGUGGUCUAAUACCCCAUAGUAAUUAUGUAAGGCAUCUUAUAUAAUUUAAAGCUUUGGUGGAUACGGAUUGGCUCGCGUGACAUUAGCUAGAUGGUAAGGUAACGGCUUACCAUGGCUACGAUGUCUAGGGGUUCUGAGAGGAAGGUCCCCCACACUGGAACUGAGACACGGUCCAGACUCCUACGGGAGGCAGCAGUGAGGAAUAUUGGACAAUGGAUGGAAAUCUGAUCCAGCCAUGCCGCGUGCAGGAAGACGGCCCUAUGGGUUGUAAACUGCUUUUGUAUGGGAGCAAUAAGGGCUACGCGUAGUCCGAUGAGAGUACCAUACGAAUAAGCACCGGCUAACUCCGUGCCAGCCGCCGC